RNAcentral lists this long non-coding RNA (2329 nucleotides) under Homo sapiens (human). RNAcentral's name for it is "HSALNT0397622". Lineage: Eukaryota; Metazoa; Chordata; Mammalia; Primates; Hominidae. The record is from RNAcentral.
UGGAAGUCAGAAUUUCAAAGAUAAGUGUGUCCGGCAGAGCAAGGACCUCCAGGAGCUGAGGCCCCGACUCUUAACUCUAUCGCCCAUCCAUGCAUUCAUCUAUAAUAUUUGAUGUAGCCCUACUGUGUCCAGUCUCUGGACUGGAGGGUAUGACCAAGUGCAGGGUAUGACCAAGGCACUGUGUCAGGGUCUGGCCAAAGGGCACAGGUCACAAACACCCUCAUGCUGUACCAGUACAUCCCUUUCCUAGGAAUAAUGCAAGCGUUUGGAAUGGGCCAGCAUGGAGGGCCUCUCUGAGGGGUGGCCAUGAGCCUGGGUCUAGAUGACUAGAAAGAUCUGACCGGCUGGGGCCCUCAGCACAGUGUCUGAGGUAGAAGGAGCUGCAGGAAGGGAGGACCUGAGGGUUUUAGCCCUAGUGUCAUGAAAGGCCACAGGAGUGUUUUCAAUCCUGAAAACGGGUGAUGCAAUGUGAUUCCAUUAAAACAAAAGAUCCCAGUGACUGUGGGAAAGUGGACCUGCAGGAGUUAAUGCAGGGAGACAGCACCAAGGUGGAUGUACAGGGGUCCACCAUGACCAUGGCAUCCACUCCUCACAGAGAAGGCAUCUGGCCAUGGCCUGGCCCUGAGCAAGUAUUGAAAAAAAUGGGAGCUGUUGUCUUUUGUUCACUAAGCAUGUAUUAGUCACCUGCUGUAUGCCAGGUUGGAGCCACAAAAGUGAAAAGGCAGCCCCUAAAUCCCUGUUUUCUUGGAGUGCACACACCACUGGGGCCAACAGUGACUAUGAAAUGAAAUUUCAGGACUAAGUUGGUGGCCUAGGUGUGGAGGCUGGUGGGGCCACCACCACAGACCACAGGAGGGGAUGUGUGCAGGCCAGGGUCCAGCCUUGCCUGAGGGUUGCACAGUGUUUUAAGUGACUUCUGCACUGGUGGGCCUCUCCUCCCGAAACCAGUCUCUCCCUCUUAACUCCAUACAGUAAGCAAGGCCCGGGAAGAAGUUGGGUUUCCCUGCCAUCCUUCCUGCCCCAGCCCCUCAUCCUCAACUCACCAUCAACCCUUCCACGAUCCCAAAUCGCUCGUGGAUGACUUUGGCGAGGGGAGCCAAACAGUUGGUGGUGCAGGACGCGUUGCUGAAACAGCCAAGGUGUGCACGGACACUGUGAGGUGGUGACCUCCCCAACUCAGCCCUCAACCUCCUCAGAGGCGCCAAUGCUGACUGCUGUCAGCCAGCCCAGACCCUUUCUCCAUAUGCUGCCCGGGACGUGGACUCUGUGACUGUGAGGCCUGCCCGGCUGCUUUCUGCUUCCCAGCUCUGACAACCUCGCCAUGAACCCUCCUAGACCCUCAGCUCCUGCAAUAGGAAGCUGGCUGCCAAAGGCCAGGAGGGUCCCUGAAAACAGACACUGCAUUAAAGAAAAAGCUCCUGGAGGACUCCUGAAGCCUGAGGCAGCCUUGGGGCAGCAGUGGCUCAUGGUUUACAUUGGAAAGGUUUAUCAUGAGUAACCGGGUGCUUUGCUUCUGUGAUUCUUGGCCAGUGUCGGUCUGUUUCCUUUGCCAUUGAGCCUGCUCCCCUCAAUGGGGGGUUCAAUCAAUGUUUGUGGGGUUUGUUUGUUUUGAGACAGGGUCUUCCUCUGUCGCCCAGGCUGGAGUGCAGUGGUGCAAUCAGAGCUCACUGCAGCCUUGAUCUUCCUGGCUCCGGCCAUCCUCCUGCCUUGGCCUCCCGAGUAGCUGGGACUACAGGCGCACACCACCAUGCCAAGCUAAUUUUUAAAUUUUUUUGUAGAGAUGGGGUCUCACUUUUGUUGCCCAGGGUGCUUUAGAACCCCUGGGCUCAAGUGAUCCUUGACCUCCCACAGUGCUGGGAUUACAGGUGUGAGCCACCGUGCCUGGCCUCAUGGGUUUUCUUUGUUUUGUUUUGUUUUGUUUUUGAGACAGAGUCUCACUCUGUCACUCAGGCUGGAGUGCAGUGGCACGAUUUUGGCUCACUGCAACCUCCACCUUCCGGGUUCAAGCGAUUCUCCUGCCUCCGCCUCCCGAGUAGUUGGGGUUACAGGCAUGCGCUACCACACCUGGCUAGUUUUUUAUUGUUGUUGUUUUUUGUAUUUUUAGUGGUGACGGGGUUUGCUCUGUUGGCCAGGCUGGUCUCAAACUCCUGACCUCAGGUGAUCCCCACUUCAGCCUCCCAAAGUGCUGGGAUGACAGGCAUGAGCCUCUGCACCUGGCCUCGUGUUUUUUUUUUAGUUAGCCAUUUUAUACGUGUUUACUGAACACCUGUCCUGUGCCCAUAUUCUAAGUGCCUUACCUGCAUUAAACUCAUGUAACCUUCACAACCCG